AUUCUCUUUCUAAGUUCAGUCUUUGUGACUAGUCACACUGUCACUGCCUACAACAUUCCUUGUUUUAAUUAUUUCUGCAUAGUGCAUCAUUUUUAUUGUUAAUGGACCUUUAUUUUAUGUAUUAAUUUAUUUAUAUUGUAGGACCUCAAGACCCAGGCCCAGCAUUAGGUGACCAAACCCCUAGGCCUCAAAGCUGCAAGACGCUUCCUCACCCAACCCCCAUGUCAAAACCCCUCCAGCAGCACGUAGCACCUCAGGUGUUGCACAAUGUUACCACAAGAUGUUCCAUGUAGAUAACCCUAGCGGGCCCCCUACCACAAGAUGUUCCUCUUAGACAGCCCUACUGGUUAAACUUGAGAACUAGGUUUAAAAACAGAAACUGAAAAAACAGGAUGUAAUUUUAGGGUUUUUCCGAGAGCAUAAAGUGAAAAAACAAGUUUACCCCCUAGGUGACCCAGUGGCUGGAUUCAGAGGAACCAAUAGAAAGGCUGUUGCUGUGCUAAGCUAAGAACUAACCCGCUUGUUUCCUAUAAAAAAAAUCUGUACCCCAAAGCCCGGUGUGCCAGUUCACCGAAGCUCCGGCUGAGGUUUUGCUGUGCACCCGCAGGCACCUGUGUGAGAAUAAACGCCUCCUGCUUUUUGCAGCCAGUGUCUCGUGUGGUUCAUUCUGGGUUUGGGAUCUGUGGAUCUUUCAAUAUGUGGUGCUGAGAAUUGAACCCAGUGUCUCACACAUGCUAGCCAAGUGCUUUACCAUUGAGCCACAACACUAGCCCUCCACAGUGCAUCUUAAAGCAUAAUCAUAUACAUUCUUGACAUUUCCUCGGUCUAUCUUUAUAUCUAUCCAGUCAAAACAACAACAACAACAACAACAACAACAAAAUACAUUACUUCCAGAAGAAUUAGGUUUUAUAACAAAGAUGCAAAGAAAGCAAAACUUCAGCGCUUGAAUUCUAAAUUAGUUUCCCGAUACUGAUAGAUAUGAAAUUUAAAUUUUGGGAAAAGAUAUAAUUUAAAGACAUUGAUAAAAAAAAAAAAAAACAAUACCU
This 1046-nucleotide long non-coding RNA is filed under the name Marmota monax (woodchuck). Lineage: Eukaryota; Metazoa; Chordata; Mammalia; Rodentia; Sciuridae. The record is from RNAcentral.